AUGCAUUGGGUUUCCUGGAAGGAGUUAUCUAAACCCAAGUGCGAGGGUGGGAUGGGGUUUCGAGACCCGCAUCUGUUUAACCUAGCUAUGUUGGGCAAGCAUGGGUGGCGUUUCAUCACCAACCCAAAUUCGCUUUGUGCGAGAGUACUCAAGGGCCAUUACUUUUCGGAUACCGAUUUCAUGCAAGCUCCAGUUCCCAAGUCAGCCUCGACAACUUGGAAGGCGAUUGUGGCGGGAAGGGACACCUUGAAAACAGGGUUGAUCUCCAGAGUGGGAGAUGGUUCUACUAUAUCGGUUUGGGAGGACAAGUGGAUCCCAGGUACGAUUACAAUGACUCCAACUCCAAGACCCACAAGUACAAACAUUGAGAGGGUUUCAGACCUCAUAGACACGCGGAGUUGGUCUUGGAAGAUCGAGCUGAUCAGGGAUAAUUUCACGGCUCAAGAUGCCGCGGCCAUACUUAAUAUUCCUAUCAGGCAAGGCGGUGGUGAUGAUUUUCUUUCUUGGGCUUUUGACAUAUCAGGUAACUACACUGUAAAGACGGCGUACCAUGCUCUCGUGACUCAGAACGAGCGUUUGGCUCUAGAGGAAGGGACGGCUACCGAAACCUCAUCGAACGAGCAACAGUUGUGGAAAUCCUUAUGGAAGCUGAAUGUUAUCCCAAAAGUAAGAGUGUUCUGGUGGAGAGUGCUUCGUGGCAUUCUUCCAGAUGAAACAACUCUCAACUAUCGACACAUUGCAGAUGUUCGCCAGUGUAAUGUUUGUCGUUCUGCGGAGGAGGACUUGAAGCAUGCGCUAUUUGUUGGGGAACGUAGUAAUUUCAAAAAAAUUCCUACGCACACGCAAGAUCAUGGUGAUGCAUAG
Molecule: ribosomal RNA, 864 nt
Filed under: Triticum aestivum (bread wheat)
Lineage: Eukaryota; Viridiplantae; Streptophyta; Magnoliopsida; Poales; Poaceae
Description: partial small subunit ribosomal RNA
Source: RNAcentral